This 664-nucleotide ribosomal RNA is filed under the name bacterium enrichment culture. RNAcentral's name for it is "bacterial SSU rRNA". It matches the Rfam family "Bacterial small subunit ribosomal RNA", at positions 72 to 749 of the family's 1533-position model. The record is from RNAcentral.
AUUGAAGCUUGCUUUGAACUGUUUUAGUGGCGGACGGGUGAGUAACGCGUGAGGAACCUGCCUUUCAGAGGGGGAUAACGUCUGGAAACGGACGCUAAUACCGCAUGACAUUUUGUUGCCGCAUGGUGAUAAAAUCAAAGGAGCAAUCCGCUGAGAGAUGGACUCGCGUCCGAUUAGCCGGUUGGCGGGGUAACGGCCCACCAAAGCAACGAUCGGUAGCCGGGCUGAGAGGCUGAACGGCCACAUUGGGACUGAGACACGGCCCAGACUCCUACGGGAGGCAGCAGUGGGGGAUAUUGCACAAUGGAGGAAACUCUGAUGCAGCAACGCCGCGUGAGGGAAGAAGGUUUUCGGAUUGUAAACCUCUGUCCUCAGGGACGAUAAUGACGGUACCUGAGGAGGAAGCUCCGGCUAACUACGUGCCAGCAGCCGCGGUAAUACGUAGGGAGCAAGCGUUGUCCGGAUUUACUGGGUGUAAAGGGUGCGUAGGCGGCACUGCAAGUCAGGUGUGAAAACCAUGGGCUUAACUUAUGGAUUGCACUUGAAACUGUGGUGCUUGAGUGAAGUAGAGGCAGGCGGAAUUCCCGGUGUAGCGGUGAAAUGCGUAGAGAUCGGGAGGAACACCAGUGGCGAAGGCGGCCUGCUGGGCUUUAACUGACGCUGA